AGUGAACGCUGGCGGUAGGCCUAACACAUGCAAGUCGAACGGCAGCACAGUAAGAGCUUGCUCUUACGGGUGGCGAGUGGCGGACGGGUGAGGAAUACAUCGGAAUCUACUUUUUCGUGGGGGAUAACGUAGGGAAACUUACGCUAAUACCGCAUACGACCUACGGGUGAAAGCAGGGGAUCUUCGGACCUUGCGCGAUUGAAUGAGCCGAUGUCGGAUUAGCUAGUUGGCGGGGUAAAGGCCCACCAAGGCGACGAUCCGUAGCUGGUCUGAGAGGAUGAUCAGCCACACUGGAACUGAGACACGGUCCAGACUCCUACGGGAGGCAGCAGUGGGGAAUAUUAGGCAAUGGGCGCAAGCCUGAUACAGCGAUACCGCGUGGGUGAAGAAGGCCUUCGGGUUGUAAAGCCCUUUUGUUGGGAAAGAAAAGCAGCAGGUUAAUACCCCGCUGUUCUGACGGUACCCAAAGAAUAAGCACCGGCUAACUUCGUG
RNAcentral lists this ribosomal RNA (492 nucleotides) under uncultured bacterium. Its description in RNAcentral is "partial 16S ribosomal RNA". It matches the Rfam family "Bacterial small subunit ribosomal RNA", at positions 29 to 507 of the family's 1533-position model. The record is from RNAcentral.